RNAcentral lists this ribosomal RNA (116 nucleotides) under Danio rerio (zebrafish). The record is from RNAcentral. Lineage: Eukaryota; Metazoa; Chordata; Actinopteri; Cypriniformes; Danionidae.
UGCCACAGCCAUAUCACCCUGCACCCCAGACCGGUGACUCACUGAAGCCAAGCAGGGCUGAGCCUGGUCAGUACCUGGAUGGGAGACCACAUGGGUAAACUAGGUUGCUGUUGGAA